RNAcentral lists this ribosomal RNA (304 nucleotides) under uncultured bacterium. Its description in RNAcentral is "partial 16S ribosomal RNA". It matches the Rfam family "Bacterial small subunit ribosomal RNA", at positions 509 to 807 of the family's 1533-position model. The record is from RNAcentral.
CAGCAGCCGCCACGGUAAUACAGAGGGUGCGAGCGUUAAUCGGAUUUACUGGGCGUAAAGCGUGCGUAGGCGGCUUCUUAAGUCGGAUGUGAAAUCCCUGAGCUUAACUUAGGAAUUGCAUUCGAUACUGGGAAGCUAGAGUAUGGGAGAGGAUGGUAGAAUUCCAGGUGUAGCGGUGAAAUGCGUAGAGAUCUGGAGGAAUACCGAUGGCGAAGGCAGCCAUCUGGCCUAAUACUGACGCUGAGGUACGAAAGCAUGGGGAGCAAACAGGAUUAGAGACCCCAGUAGUCCCUGUCUCUUAUAC